UACCACAAGGAGUCUAAUUUGUGGGGCAUUUAGAUAAAAAGAAACCUAAUGCAUCAUGCAUUAUACAUCACGUGCAUUUGCGAUAAGGACUGGGAAUUGCAAUUAUUCCCCAUGAAUGAGAAAUUCCCUGUAUGUGUGGGGCAUAAACUCACCUUGAUUAAGUCCCUG
RNAcentral lists this non-coding RNA (168 nucleotides) under Antrostomus carolinensis (chuck-will's-widow). RNAcentral's name for it is "Caprimulgus carolinensis (chuck-will's-widow) Eukaryotic small subunit ribosomal RNA". It matches the Rfam family "Eukaryotic small subunit ribosomal RNA", at positions 1165 to 1655 of the family's 1831-position model. The record is from Rfam by way of RNAcentral. Lineage: Eukaryota; Metazoa; Chordata; Aves; Caprimulgiformes; Caprimulgidae.